This is a long non-coding RNA of Cyprinus carpio carpio, 636 nucleotides long. Lineage: Eukaryota; Metazoa; Chordata; Actinopteri; Cypriniformes; Cyprinidae. The record is from Ensembl.
CACUUCCCAUAACACCCGAUGUACUUGCUACAUCGUUAGAAGAAUGGCAUCUACGCUCAUAUUAGUCACCGUAGCCACCAGAUCCAGUCUGUAUCCAGAUCAGAGGGUCACUGCAGUCACCCGGAUCCAGUACGUAUCCAGCCCAGAUGGUGGAUCAGCACCUAGAAAGGACCUCUACAGCCCUGAAAGACAGCGGAGACCAGGACUAGAGCCCCAGAUACAGAUCCCCUGUAAAGACCUUGUCUCAGAGGACCACCGGGACAAGACCACAGGAAACAGAUGAUUCUUCUGCACAAUCUGACUUUGUUGCAGCCUGGAACUGAACUGCUGGUUUCGUCUGGCCAGAGGAGAACUGGCCCCCCGACUGAGCCUGGUUUCUCCCAAGGUUUUUUCUCCAUUCUGUCACUGAUGGAGUUUUGGUUCCUUGCCGCUGUCGCCUCUGGCUUGCUUAGUUGGGGACACUUCAUUUACAGCGAUAUCGUUGACUUGAUUGCAAAUGAUUGCACAGAUACUAUUUAAACUGAACUGAGCUGCAUGAUGACAUCACUGAAUUCAAUGAUGAACUGCUUUAACUGUCAUUUUGCAUUAUUGACACACUGUUUUCCUAAUUAAUGUUGUUCAGUUGCUUUUUUUGUU